RNAcentral lists this ribosomal RNA (548 nucleotides) under uncultured Glomeromycotina. Its description in RNAcentral is "SSU rRNA". It matches the Rfam family "Eukaryotic small subunit ribosomal RNA", at positions 569 to 1113 of the family's 1831-position model. The record is from RNAcentral. Lineage: Eukaryota; Fungi; Glomeromycota.
AGCAGCCGCGGUAAUUCCAGCUCCAAUAGCGUAUAUUAAAGUUGUUGCAGUUAAAAGCUCGUAGUUGAAUUUCGGGAUUGACACAUCGGUCGUGCCUUAAGGGGUGUGAACUGGUGUAGUCAAUUUCUCACCUUCUGGAGAACCGCGAUGUCCUUAAUUGGGUGCCGCGAGGAACCAGGACCUUUACUUUGAAAAAUUAGAGUGUUUAAAGCAGGCAUUUUUGCUUGAAUACAUUAGCAUGGAAUAAUAAAAUAGGACGGCAUGAUUCUAUUUUGUUGGUUUCUAGGAUCACCGUAAUGAUUAAUAGGGAUAGUUGGGGGCAUUAGUAUUCAAUUGUCAGAGGUGAAAUUCUUGGAUUUAUUGAAGACUAACUACUGCGAAAGCAUUUGCCAAGGAUGUUUUCAUUAAUCAAGAACGAAAGUUAGGGGAUCGAAGACGAUCAGAUACCGUCGUAGUCUUAACCAUAAACUAUGCCGACUAGGAAUCAGACGAUGUUAAUUUUUUAAUGACUCGUUUGGCACCUUACGGGAAACCAAAGUGUUUGGGUU